UAGUCAUAUGCUUGUCUCAAAGAUUAAGCCAUGCAUGUCUAAGUAUAAGUAAAUUAAUACGGCGAAACUGCGAAUGGCUCAUUAUAUCAGUUAUAGUUUACUUGAUAGUCAAUUACUAGAUGGAUAACUGUGGUAAUUCUAGAGCUAAUACAUGCUAAGGUUGAUCCUUCGGGAGACCAGUAUUUAUUAGCCUCGGCCGACAUGUCCCAUUGCGGGAUGAGGUGGGGAGUCAUGAUAACUUCACGGAUCGCUGCCGGAAUGGGGGCGAUGUAUCAUUCAAAUUUCUGCCCUAUCAACUAGUUGGUAGGAUAGAGGCCUACCAAGGUAUUGACGGGUAACGGGGAAUUAGGGUUCGAUUCCGGAGAGGGAGCCUGAGAGACGGCUACCACAUCCAAGGAGGGCAGCAGGCGCGCAAAUUACCCAAUCCUGACGCAGGGAGGUAGUGACAAUAAAUAUCAAUUUCGGACCUAAGGGUUCGGGAUGUGGAAUGAGUGGAAAGUAAAGAACUCUACUAAAGCAAUUGGAGGGCAAGCCUGGUGCCAGCAGCCGCGGUAAUUCCAGCUCCAAUAGCGUAUAUUAAAGUUGUUGCAGUUAAAACGCUCGUAGUCGGACCUGGGCGCGGGGGCGGGUGGACUCUGCCUGUAGGGGCGGAGGGCUGGCUGACCCCGGGUCUUUUCCGCCCGGAGCGCGGGCCCCUUGAUUGGGAGUUUGCGUAGGACGGGGGGAUAUUACUGUGAGGAAAUUAGAGUGCUCAAAGCAGGCGGGAGCCGGAAUAGAUUAGCAUGGAAUAAUAGAAUAGGACUUGUCCUGUUUUGUUGGUCAGCAGGGUUGAGUAAUGAUUAAUAGGAGCAGUUGGGGGCGUUAGUAUUCCGUUGCCAGAGGUGAAAUUCUUAGACUUACGGAGGACUAACUAAUGCGAAAGCAUUCGCCAAGGAUGUUUUCAUUGAUCAAGAACGAAAGUUAAGGGAUCGAAGAUGAUUAGAGACCGUCCUAGUCUUAACCGUAAACUAUGCCGACUAGAGAUCGGAGGCUAUCAAAAGGUGUGGUCUUCGGGAUCUUCCGAGAAAUCAAAGUUUUUGGGUUCUGGGGGGAGUAUGGUCGCAAGGCUGAAACUUAAAGGAAUUGACGGAAGGGCACCACCAGGAGUGGAGCCUGCGGCUUAAUUUGACUCAACACGGGGAAACUCACCAGGUCCGGACAUAGGUACGAAUGACAGAUUGACAGUUCUUUCAUGAUUCUAUGGGUGGUGGUGCAUGGCCGUUCUUAGUUGGUGGAGUGAUUUGUCUGGUUAAUUCCGAUAACGAACGAGACCUUGGCCUAUAACUAGUGUGCCUGCCGUGGAGCCGGUGCAUACUUCUUAUAGGGACGACGGGUGUUAUCCUUUUAGCCCGUGGAGGAUCGAGGCAAUAACAGGUCUGUGAUGCCCUUAGAUGUUCUGGGCUGCACGCGCGCUACAAUGGCACACGCAACGGGCAACGGGACUCGAGAGGGGUACCCGGGAUCCCACAAAGUGUGCCGUGCUGGGGAUAGUCCAUUGCAAUUAUUGGACUUGAACGAGGAAUUCCUCGUAAGCGUGAGUCAUCAGCUCGCGUUGAUUACGUCCCUGCCCUUUGUACACACCGCCCGUCGCUACUACCGAUGAACGGCUAAGUGAGGCCUCCGGAUUGCGGGGCAGGGCGGGGGCGACCCCGGGUCUGGCCGCGAGAAGCUGGACGAACUUGGCCGUUUAGAGGAAGUAAAAGUCGUAACAAGGUAACUGUAGGUGAACCUGCG
This 1773-nucleotide ribosomal RNA is filed under the name Nephridiophaga archimandrita. RNAcentral's name for it is "SSU rRNA". It matches the Rfam family "Eukaryotic small subunit ribosomal RNA". The record is from RNAcentral. Lineage: Eukaryota; Fungi; Chytridiomycota; Chytridiomycetes; Nephridiophagales; Nephridiophagaceae.